Molecule: ribosomal RNA, 112 nt
Filed under: Mucilaginibacter terrae
Lineage: Bacteria; Pseudomonadati; Bacteroidota; Sphingobacteriia; Sphingobacteriales; Sphingobacteriaceae
Source: RNAcentral
UUAGGUGCCUAUAUCGGCGGUGUCCACCUCUUCCCAUUCCGAACAGAGAAGUUAAGCCCGCCAGAGCCGAUGGUACUGCAGUAAAAUGUGGGAGAGUAGGUCGGCGCCAAAC